Molecule: ribosomal RNA, 243 nt
Filed under: uncultured bacterium
Lineage: Bacteria
Description: partial 16S ribosomal RNA
Rfam family: Bacterial small subunit ribosomal RNA
Source: RNAcentral
UAAAGUGGCGCACGGGUGAGUAACACGUAGGUAAUGUGCCUUUGGGUGGGGAAUAACUUAGGGAAACUUAAGCUAAUACCGCAUAACGCGAUAACUUCUUCGGAAGAUUUUGUUAAAGAUUUAUCGCCUGAAGAGCAGCCUGCGGCAGAUUAGCUAGUUGGUAAGGUAACGGCUUACCAAGGCUACGAUCUGUAUCCGACCUGAGAGGGUGGUCGGACACACUGACACUGAAUAACGGGUCAG